CUGGCCAUCUAGAGAGAUUAUGUUUUGUAUUAGGUUAUUUGUUGAUCCGAGUUCACCCAUACCGACUAGGUUGAUCUGACAUGAAAUGUGCUGAUCUAAACCAGAUUAGUCAUUACAUCAGAUGUAUGUGACUAAUUAGAAAAGAUCUAAACCCAAAUCUCCUCACUGAAUAUUAAGUCUACUGAUCUUCCACCAUUGUAGAGAUGCGGGUGCCUUUUCUGACAUUGAUCAUUCUCAACUGGUUACAGUGGUUUGGUUGCAUCGAAAAGGCACACCCACUCUAUUAGCAUCAGAUGUCCUAAGGUAAAAAUGGGGUUGAACCCA
This 324-nucleotide long non-coding RNA is filed under the name Elaeis guineensis (African oil palm). RNAcentral describes it as "long non-coding RNA (EGUI_LNC052700)". Lineage: Eukaryota; Viridiplantae; Streptophyta; Magnoliopsida; Arecales; Arecaceae. The record is from RNAcentral.